UCCCUGGUGGUCCAGUGGCUAAGACUCCAUGCUCCCAGUGCAGGGGGCCUGGGUUCAAUCCCUAGUCAGGGAA
This 73-nucleotide transfer RNA is filed under the name Proteus mirabilis. RNAcentral describes it as "tRNA-Trp". It matches the Rfam family "tRNA". From Rfam's summary of the family: Transfer RNA (tRNA) molecules are approximately 80 nucleotides in length. Their secondary structure includes four short double-helical elements and three loops (D, anti-codon, and T loops). Lineage: Bacteria; Pseudomonadati; Pseudomonadota; Gammaproteobacteria; Enterobacterales; Morganellaceae. RNAcentral also lists the same sequence under 6 other names. The record is from RNAcentral.